Steccherinum ochraceum is the source of this 84-nucleotide non-coding RNA. Lineage: Eukaryota; Fungi; Basidiomycota; Agaricomycetes; Polyporales; Steccherinaceae. The record is from the annotation of a GenBank genome assembly.
GCCCGUUUAGCUCAGUGGUAGAGCGCGCCACUCGUAAGUCGCAUGAUUAUGGUGAGGUCGGUCGUUCAAUCCGGCCAAUGGGCA